GCCGCCUGAAAGCGUUCCUCUGAACUCUCUCUAAAACUCCGUUAAGGCUCGAGGGUUGUUAGAAGGACCUCGGCGCUUAACAUUUUUCCCUUUCGCUCUAAUUUUGAGCUUUUUCUCUUGAGCUCUGAGAGGACUUUAAACUUUUCGAUCGUUUGUUUUUUACCAGAAGCGCCGGCAGGGAACGUUCACGGACGGUGUAGGUGGCCUUCUGGCCUGAAAGGCAGCCGCACGCACGUUGCGUUGAGAAGCCAGGUGUGAAUUACGGCGCGGGAGAGGAGUAGUGAGACAGGUUGCCAUGGCUCGGCUGAUAGAAGGUGGAAUGAGAAGAGUAUAGGUGGAAUGAGAAGAGUACGAGCUGCAAGAAGGCUGCACCAUGCACCAGGGUACCAGAGGUCUUUGAAGAGUCAUUUGCGAUGUUUCAACUCAGCAAAGCAAGCUGCUGUGAAGUCCGGCCUCAAAAGACAAUUAUUCUUCAGUACUUUGAGCUCUAGGAGUACUCUCUUGUAUUCUGAAAAAUAAGAAUUGAAAAUAUCUAACUAAUGGCGUCUUCCCCUUCCACAAGCUAUAGCCCAUCCACCUCUGAAUUCAUUAAUGAUUCCUUCCUCAGUGUUGCCAUCCUACUCUUUGCCUGCUUCACAACCAUCUGUUUUUAGAUAGUACAAAGCUGCUGUGGGUCCAUGCUGGAAUUCCUCAUUUACCAUAUACUGUUCUUGCUGUGUGAGUCAAUGCCUUCCUAAUGUGAAUAUGGUUUUAUUUAUAAUGAUUUUAAAGGCACAGUAUUUUUUCAAAAAUAUUUGAAUACAGCCUGAAAGGUAAAAGAUUGUGUUAGUAGAGGCAAAUACCUGCAUUGGGUUAUUUCAGCCUGAACAAAUCAUGUUUGUCUGAUACAGACACCUAAAAGCAGAAUCUCAUAAUGGGAAAAUGCCAGAAAAUCUUGAGAAGGAAUCACACUGCCAACUCUGCCUAUGAAAUAAAUUAUGUUUACUAAUGAUUAUAUUUCCCCUUGUAUCUAUACAGGGAGCCCAGAGUUCCUGUUCUUUGGAGCUGAGAUGUCGAAUGCAUUUCCUGACAGCUCCAGCUCACUUUUCAUUAUUGAUAAGUUAAAACAAUGUGGCUGUUAGCUGUUCUGUAAUUUGUCCAAUGAGCUUAGGAAACAGCUGCAGCUUGAGGAGGAAGACAUGAAAAGAACUCACGUAUAAUAUGAUAGCGGCAUCUGAGCUCCCUCUGCCUUGCUGCCAAGCUGACGGUUGUCACAAAAUGAAGGCUCUCUGCCUUCUGCUUUGCAGCUUACUUUGCUGCUACGGCCUAGGAAUGGAGCAGUUAUGACUGAAGAUGGGAAGUGCUUCUGGUGCUAAUGGGUAUUUUAGGAAAUGGGAAUAUUGGCAAACGUGGAAGGCAAAUAGGUCAAAGGGAUCUCACUGAUCUCACUGUGUUAAGUGGGGGACAGAGUAAAAACAGGGUGAUUACAACAGUUCUUUUUUUUUAGUUAAUUUGCUGCCCAUGGUGGUUAUCUAAGAAUUCUGAAAUACUUGCCUGUUUUGGUUUUUUCUUUUUUUUUAUUCUAAUCCACAAGAUAGCUGACAGGGUAACUUGUCUCUUAUUACAGAAAAGAUUUAGCAUGUUUACUUAAAACUAUUCAUGCUAAAACCCAUAUGAAUAUGUAAGAAAACGAUUCUGUAUAGCAGCAUUUACAUGAGGAUUGAAGUAUUACCACACAGUAAUAAUGAAAUCUAAAGAUACAGCUAAGAUAAAUGACAGGAAAUUAUACAUAAAAAUAGGAGAAUUCUCCAUAGAAUAAAUCUAAAGCUUAUCAUAAACAAAGAAAAAAUAAAAGGAACAGGAAGAAAAGUAGAGAGAAAAAGCACUGAGGUAAGAGGAGAUAAGCAUAAAAAGAAUUUGUAUCAAGGAGAAAAAAAAUUAAAAAGACUAUAAAGGGCAAACCAUUUCCCAUGUUCAAGAUUAUCUGUCUGUAACAGCUGAGUAAAGGCUUCUUUCUUCUGAAUGUCUGCUGUAGUGAGUACAACUCAUGUUAUUGUCCAGUUAGUGUUAUUACAAACUGAUGCGCUGUCAGAGAUUUUGGCACUUAGGCAAAUGUUGUGGAAUUAACGUAAAAAGCCAACGAGCGUGACAGGAAAAUCAUGGUAAAGUGAAAAGUAUGGAAGUUGAAAAUAACCUUCUUAGAUAUCAAAAAUAGCCUUGAAAAUUAAGAGGAAGCUAACAGAAGAAAUAGAAGGUUGUUAAGAAUGUAGGCAGGUGCUAAGUACAGAAGCAGAAUGCCAAGAAAAUGAAAUGUGAUAUUAAAAGCAAAAAAUGAAUUUCUCACUUCCAAUUAGGGAAUAAUGGUGACUAUGACCUGUGUGGGUGGGCACAGACGGUCAUUUAUCUUUUGGACGAAAACACAAGAGUUGCCAAAAGUCUUGCCAUCUGAGGCUUUGUCUCAAUUUACUUUCUUAAGGAUGACUUGGCAAGAUUAUCUAGGAUUUAUUCUUGAAAGAGAUAUGAGAAUAGAUCACAUACAGUAUUGUCUGUUUCUCUAGCACUUGUCUCUGCCCUGUCAAUUGUACUGAAUUGCAUAAAACAGAGAAUUUGGCUUGCAAGGGCAGGUAUGAAUGGAACAAGGAACUUAAAGAAGUAGAGGUCUGGUUAGAGGUACAGAUAAAAACAUUUUAGGAAAAAAAGAAAAGAGAAAACAUCAUCAAAUAACAUACAGAAAUACUAAAUCUAGCUGGAGAAUAUACUGCUAUCAAAGUAAUGAUGAAGGGAUCAAGACAACGAAAAGAUACUAUUUGCCUAUAUUAGAAAGGUCAGCGUGAAUAAAACAAGCAGACAGACAUAAUAAGGAAGAAUGCUACAUUUUAAAAAAUUUUAGGUGAGAUGAAAAAUAGCUGUAAUGUUAAAAACAGAAUUGAAGACUGUUUUAUUAUAAGAAGACUUUUAUUAUAUGCUCAUUUGUGAUUCUAGUGCGAAUAAAUGCAAAUAAAGGAUCUCAAAGAAGACUCUUAGCUGCUAUCAUGAGAGUUAGAAGCUGGAUUUAGGGAGUUGGUAAAUUGCAGAAAAUUUGAAUCUAGAAGACAUAGAAUGUGAUAUUCAAAAUAGUGUAAGACUUGAACUGGAAGAAAAAAAACUUGAAUCUGGCACUCCAUCUUAGGUAAGGUAAUACACAAGCCAGCAGGUCUGACAUUUCCAUUAGGCCUUAGGAAUCAUCAAAAUACCUUAGCAUUGGAUGGAUUCUGUCAGAGAUGCUCAUCAUGCACAGUCUUAUUGACUACAAUAAGAGGUUUUUUUGGCAUUCAGUGUUUACAAAUCCGUACAGAUGUAAGCAUCUAAACACAAGACUUUGAUGUUCCAAAUUUUGGCACCUGAGUUUGCGAAUAGUGAUUUGCAAUGGACUUUCACCUGCUCCAAAAUUAUCAUGAUACCAUCCUCAUCCUACUUGGUUUUGACCAAUAGCCGCUAUUAAGCUGCUAUUAGUUGUUAUUUUUAAGUAAUUCCAACAUUAUUUAUAGUGCAAUUUUAUAUACUGAAUUUAAAACUCCUGUAGCAAUUCUGAAAUGCUUAUGCAGUCCAUACAAAAUGAUACGUUGUACAAAUCCAGCAGGUUUUUGUAGUCUAUUCAUGGUCUGCUUUCCUAACAGGCUGCUGCUGCUUACCCAGCUUAGGUCUUCCAGCAAGGGGGUUGCAUUGAUAGGAGUUUGUUCACAGAACAAAGGCUUAUACUGCAAAAAUGUCAAUUGAUCAGAAGGUCAUAAAUUCAUAAUCUUGAUUAAAUUAACAGUAGAAAUUGAGAAUUUCAGCAUAUAUGAGUGGCUGCACUGGGAUUGAAUAGCUUCUUAGUGUCUAAGCAAGUACAGAAGGAAAAGUUUAACCCAAGCAGAAAUUCCUAUUUGGAAAAAUAUUUGGAUAAUUAGAUUUUCCUAAAAAUGAAUCCUCUUCUCUAACUGUGAAGUGUCAGUUAGCAGAGUUAGCAGAGUUAGCAGAGCUUCUCUGAAAGACGGAUAAGAAACAGACGCUAAGAAACAAGCGGAUAUAGAGACAUAUUGUCAUUUUUAUUUAUUUGUCUUUCUCUCCAAAUCUAGCAAUUAGUUCCUGAAACAUUCAUUCUGUUAGAGAAAAACAACAACAAGUCAUUAGCAAUUUCUUUUUACUUUUCUCUUAAGUUUUGAGAGUGAUUUCAGGGCUGUCUAGCAAAGUGUAUACUGCAUAUCCUGGCCAAUGUCAGAUGUUACUCUCUGAAUAAACUUACGUGUAUACUACAUUUGGGGAGAGAUCUUGAUUGCCAACAAAGUUAAGAGUCUGUUUGAAAGCAGCAAAAAUAUGGGGAAGAGGUCUGAAACAUUGGAUUUUUUCAAACUCAACUUAGUUUUCUUUUAUCAAAAUUGACAAAAGGUAGAAUAUAAAUAUUUCAUAAACAGUAAGCUAAAAAUAUUAACAUCCUGACAGAUGGUUACAUAUUCAGUAUGUCUUUCAAAUUUGUGUUGCUUCUCAUUAAGAAGAGCAUCCAAAAUAUUUGUAAUCAGCUCAGAUUGUUUAUUGACACCUGCACAACAAGUUCAUGAUCCUCCAUGCUUGGGACUUUUAUCUAAGAAAGGAGAGACAAAGCAAAAAAACCCUAUAAAAGAACACUUGAGGUACUCCAUGCUUAUUACAUACUGCUUUUGGGGGAUAGAGGAGAAAUGCUUAAGGACAGGGCUAAAUUGUCAGAUACAAGUUAGAAGAAAUUCAGCUUAUUUGAGUGCAUGCCUUUCU
Meleagris gallopavo (turkey) is the source of this 4746-nucleotide non-coding RNA. The record is from RefSeq and is a predicted model, not a curated record. NCBI's taxonomy places the organism in Eukaryota, Metazoa, Chordata, Aves, Galliformes, Phasianidae.